Long non-coding RNA from Canis lupus familiaris (dog), 5994 nucleotides. RefSeq lists it as uncharacterized. The record is from RefSeq and is a predicted model, not a curated record. The transcript is spliced from 3 exons. NCBI's taxonomy places the organism in Eukaryota, Metazoa, Chordata, Mammalia, Carnivora, Canidae.
CUUAAUCAUGAUGGGGCCACUCAGAAGAGGAGUAAACAGGAGGUGGAAGAAAAAGAGCUGUGCCAUCUGCAGAGUAGUUUCCCCUUCUUACUCAUACAGCAGAAAUAUGAGACCACAACUGAUAACUCAGCGACACUGUAUUUUGAGUUAUGGUCUCCCCCAACCUUGGGAAUUGUCCUUCCUACACGCCCACAGCAAAUUCUCCCACCACGCUCCAUGAGCUAAAACAGAUUCAAGUGUCAAACAAGAUAUUCUCACCCCAUACAGAAUCUAAGGGAAUUUCCAUGCGACAAAUGUGUAUUGAGCACCUACUGUGUGCAAGGAACUGCAAGGGAUGGUUAAGUUUAAAGCUGCACAAACCAGGGUCUUUAAUUUUUAGGAGCUGUAAAACAACCAAGCACCUAAAAAGUCAUACUAAAGGUGGUAAAAAAAAGAAAAGGAAAACCAAAAAUAAAGAUCAUAAGAAAUGAAUGUAGUACAGUGGGAUUCUACAGGAGUGAGAGGUUAUUUCUUGCUUUGAGAUAGAGGGAAGCUUCAGGGAGGAGCUAGAAUUUCAUCUGGAUUCCAAAUAGUGGCAACGAUUGAGGAAGAGAGUGUUAUGUAAAAUCUUAGAGAAAAGAAAAUGUGGAGAACAUUUAUGUCGUGAGUGAUGGCUGACAAUGACAUUGAAAGGACAUUGCAGGUGAGAAGAGGAAACAUGCCGAGGUCUACACUAAGGCUGGAGUUUGUUCUGUAGGUGAAAGACAAUCACUGAUGGACUUUAAACAGGCAUAAUGACAUGGUGUAAUUUUGCACAUGGAUAACUACUUCGGUAGCUCUGCGAUGGUGGGCUAGAGGGGAGGCAGGGAGAUCAAUCAGGAAAGGAGAGGAGGAAGAAGAGCCAAUUCUUAGUGAGAGGUGCCCCAAAGCCCCCAGGAAACUUCAUGAUGUGAUGCAGAAUCCUGGACUUAUAAGCCAUGACCUUGGGGGGAGUUUCUAACUUUUUCUAUGCUUCAGUUUCCUCCUCCAUAAAUCAAGGAUCACAAUAGCAGCUAUUUCAUUGGGCUGUAAAGAUUAAAUGAAUAGAUAUGUACAAAACCCUUAGAUCUGCGUCUAGGAAACUGUAAGCACUCAAUAAUGUUAUGUAUUAUUAGUAAGGCAGUGGUAAGAAGAGACAGUAAGGAGUAGAUUUGAAUGCUAUUAUGCUAUAUAAUUAUGUCAUUAUUUAUAUGGGAGUUAUUUUCAGCUAUUUGCCUACAGAACAUAAUUCUAUCAUUUAGUAAGCAAAGCAAGAAAUCAAGUUGUUACCACAGCAUUUAUUAUAUUUUAUUUAUUCCCCUUGACUGAUUUCUUCUAGAAUAUGUCUCAGACUUUGAGAUAAUAUAUGAAGUUGUCCUUGACAUAUAUUAGUUUUAAAAGGGGGCUUGGAAAUGUAAUAGAACCAUUUGAGCUAUGUAGUCGCAAUUAGUCAUAAUUGAUGUUUGGCCUUCUAUAUCCAUCUAUCUAUCAUUAAUUACCUAAUUAAUUAAUACUUUCUUACAUUCCACCUAACUUAUGAGAACUUAAAAAUCCUAAGAUCUUUUGAAAAUAAAGCCAUGUCAUCUUCAUAACCUCCUUGACGUAGGGAGAGUAUAUUAACAAAGGUUUAGAAUGAUAGUUCUCUCAACCCCUGCCCUGUCUUUCUUUUUUCCCUCUGCUCUACCUCCACUGCCUAAAUCAUUGCUGCUAAGCUGUCAUCCAGGAGCUGUGGGGAGAGCUGGAGAAGGCCUUCUUGGGUUGCCCUGCAUGCUGCUUUGAGACCUUGGGAAAAAGGCAUAAGGCAAAUUGAGACCGACAAGAGUGAACAGUGGUGAAAAGCAGCUCUCCUCGUUCAGGACCAGGAAAAGAGGAAAAUAGGGAGAGAUAAGCAAUUCUUCUUCACUGUUUCCUGUAUAUUCUGAAGUGGACUUAUCUGUGGUCUAGACCACACUGAAAAUAUGAAGGUCAUGAUAACGGAGACAUCUGCAGUCAACAUCUAACUGUAAAAUGUUUCUCUUGAUCUAUUUUGGGCCUUAAUAAUAAUCCAAGGGAAUCCCUGGGUGGCUCAGCAGUUCAGCGCCUGCCUUCGCCCAGGGCGUGAUCCUGGAGACCCGGGAUCGAGUCCCAUGUGGGGCUCCCUGCAUGGAGCCUACUCUCUCCCUCUGCCUGUGUCUCUGCCUCCUCUCUCUCUCUCUUUGUCUAUCAUAAAUGAAUAAAUAAAUAAAAUCUCAAAACAAUUAAAAAAAUAAUCCAAGACGUAGGAAAGGAAUCAUAGGUGUCAGUGGGAUGGCAAAAUGACCAACGCACCUCUCAGAGAAGAACAAGAGUGUGGGAUGUUCUGAUGGUUCACAUCUCUUGAGCCCUUUCUCUGGGCACUCUUUGGCCUUCCCAUUGCAGGGACCCCUCCUCCACAACAGACACCUGGCUGCCUCCUUUCCCACCUGAGACAGGGGAUGAGAUUGAAGGAGCAGGGACUUGCCUCAGGGCUCAUCCUGAAUGCUCUCUUGACUCAGAAAGCAUGGAGUAGCCAUCUUCUCCCCUGGGAAGGAUCCUGGAGUGUGAGAGACUGAACAAUCCAGAAAAGGAGAAGUUGGAGCGAUACCCCCAUCUCCUCGCACUUGGUUGUGCCAAGCAGCUUCCUGCACAGGCCACCCCUCCCCCAACUUUCUGCCAACAUGCCUUUUAGGAGGAAGAGGAAAUGGACUGGACUUCUAAAACUUGAAGAAAAAUCCCGUUCCCUACAAUGGUGCCUAUAAUUUCAGUAGAAGUGCUAAGUCGGGGUGUGGAGGGGCCCCAGGCAAAUGUUGCAGUGCAACUUGGUUUUCCGAAGAGGUAAGCCCACCACAAGAGACAUACUAGCGGUGUGGACUUGAAGACUUUCAGUUCCUGUGAUGGUCAUUGCUCAUUCCACAUAAUUAAUAAAUUGCCUUCAGGUUUAUAUAUCUACCUUGUGAACUUGGUAAACGUGAAUUGUCCCUGCAGGAGAGGCGCUGACGAUCCAUACAUCUGUGCUGGCUGCAUUCUGGGCAAUGUUCUGGGUCCCGGUGACUUCACCAGGAUGAUGAAUGAAGACCUCGUGGCACAAGCACUGAGCCAAAAAUGGUAUAUGAAUCUUCAAGUUAACAUCCACCUACUAGCAAUUAAAUUACUUAACUCAUUAGUUACUUAACUGAGUGCAAUUUUCUCAAUCUUUCUGUCUCAAAGGGAUGAGUGUACGUGAGGUCUAUGUCACUCUCCUUACCUUUUGGCCAAAGGAUAACUAAUGUAGGGGACAAGUAUUAAAAGUUUGGGUCUUGGACUCACUUGUUUUUGUAGUGCCUCUCCUGGGACAGGUCUUAACAUGGGAACACAAGGAGAAAGGGUGGUGUUUUGUCUUCACGGGAUGCCUCUCCUUGCCCCUAAAACCAAAUGGAGCUCUCACAGGGUGCCUCCAUAUUCACGAUGGACACCAUGGUGCCAUUUUCCAUGUGUCUCUAGCACCUUGCACAGUGUUUGAUAUAAAGUAAGCCCUCAAAUGUAGCUAUGUGAUAACUACCAGGAGGUAAAAUCUGGGAGCUUUGUUAAAUCCUGUGUGUGAUUGGAAAGCUGUUGAUUCACCUGAAUGCUGGCUACAGCCUCUCUAAAAGAAGCUUAAAAACAACAUAUUUACUUUGCCUAUUCAAUAAUUAGAUAUUAAGAGACAUUUAUGUGAGCUGCUUCUGGUUUACUCACACCCAGCAACGUAAUACGUAUCAUACUUGGCAUUACAUUUGUAUGAGAUUACCUUUGUUGGAAAUUUUCUUUGAUUGCAGUAGCAAACUUUACUUAUGCUUAAGAUACAUUUACAGAACAUAGAGCUUAAUCUACAAGUAACACCAGAAACCCUUCUCAAGGUUGCCUAGUCAUACUUCCUGAUGGCUCAGACUUCACAGGAUGCAGCACACAUUCCACAUUCAUCCCUUCACAAAUUUAAAAAGGGGGAAGAAAAAAAGAAAGAAAGAAGAGAAAGUACCUUGCUCAGAAUUAAAGGUAGGGCAAGGGUAGGCAGUAUGAGAACAGUCAGUGCAGAACAUUGUGCAGAGCCCACUCCUGGGGACAUGAAGCCUAUGAGGCAUCUGGAGAAAGCCAGUGACCAUGGGAUGGGGAGGAGAAACAGGGAGCAGUAGCGGGGCCGGCAGAAAUCUGGCAUCUUUUUCCUCUCCUGGAUACAAAGGUAAUGACAUUGAAAUCCUACUAAAGGGUUAUGGAUUUAAUAACCUUUCAUAACCCGAUUCAGUGCCCUAAAUUCAGAGUAACAAAGCCUGAGCCAUUUAAUGAUCAAAAGCCUUUUUUUUUCUCCCCCACAGAGAGUUAAUGGAAGAAUAAAAACUAAAUGUGUAAAAUUAACCUUCUACCUCCAUAGCAUUUGUCCUUUUCAUUCCCAAGUACAUGUUUGUAAAAACGCAUUGUGCUGCACUGAAUGUUUCUCUUCUAGUUCAGAUCAGAGUUUCUUACAUCCAACCACUUGCCAAGCUCUGUACGUUACCUCCCCCCCCCCCCCAAUAGCUUUCAAAUCUUCUGUCUUAGGACAAGUUCACCAGAAGGACAUCUCAGAGGGAAGAGUCAUAUGUGAGUAAUUUAUUAAGGAAGUUCUUCCAGGAGAAGCAGGUACGGGAAUAAGGGAAGUAAAGACAGGGAAUGGCAUGGUUUCAGCUGGUGCCAGGGAGAACUUUGAAGCUUAAAUUAUGCCUUGGAAUUUGUCCCAAGUGGAAUCAAAGCGACUAGGCUUUUAUGUUUUGUUUUUUGUAAUCACUGGCUGAGGACUGUGGGAUUUGAAGGGUUAGUGGUUUUCGAGGUGGGGGGCGUUGUGUGCAGAGAGUAAAUUUGUAGUCACUUUGAGCUCCUCAUGCCUCUGGGCAAAGCCCCCCCCACCCCCCCAGGGGUCAAGUGGUGUCUCUAUAGGAGAAGCACAGGUGGGAAGGGGACAUAUGGGCAUUCAAGCCCAAGUGCAUCUAUAGGGGAUGUACGCAAAGUGUUACUGAGGAUGACAAUGGACUUGGGUGGACAUAGGAAGUGACAACCUCUUCCUAAUUCUUUUCCCACCACUGUUCACCUUUAGUUCAUGUCCCUGUGAUUAUUUCUCUUUUGGAAUAUGUCCUGGGUUCCCAAUCCAUAUUCUUGGAUCCCCACAGACCUCCUCUAGUCAAUCCUUGUGUUCAGCAGUCUUUCCAGAUUGCAAACCUAGUGAUGCUAGUUCAGUGCUUAGAUCCCUUCAGUCACUGCCUCCUUAACAUGGCUUGCCUGAUGCUCUUGAUCUGAUUCCUGACCCCAGAUUCCUAGGAUGGCAACUUGACAGCCUUGUGGUAGUCCUUGCUGCUCUCAGACCUUUGGAUUUUGUAAAGCUAUGCCCGCUGCUUGGAAAGAUCUUUGUCCAUCUCCUCACCUGGCUCACUGUUAUUCUUUUUUGAAGAACCACCCUAAUCUUCAUGGCCUCUGACUUCCCAUUACACCCUGGCCUCACACUGCUAGAUUUGCCACAUUCUGUUUCCCCACCAGACCUGCCACAUUCUGUUUCCCCACCAGACCAUUUUAUUUCCCCAUCAGACAUUUCUCUUUAAGAAAGCCCUGUGUCCUGUUCAUCUCUGAUCUCAUUGUUUUUGGAUUCUUAUAGAAGACAAGAUGAAAUGAAGGAGGAGUGAAGAUCUGUCUUUGCAGGUAUCUGCAGAAUGAAUGUGGUCUGCAGGCUUCAAAAGCCUCAUUCUUUAUUUGUUAAGUCAUAGGAGCCAGGCAAAGGGUUGAUCACCUCUAUGUGCCAGAUAAAGGGCUCACGGUACAUUGUCACAUGCAGUCCUCUUGCAUGAGGACUGAGGGGAAUGUUAUUAUCCAAGCCUCUGAUGUCUCUGGAGAUCAGGAGGACCCAUUCUCUUAAAAAUACCAGGUGGCGCAGCGGUUUAGCGCCGCCUGCAGCCCGGGGUGUGAUCCUGGGGUCCCGGGAUAGAGUCCCACGUCAGGCUCCCUGCAUGAAGUCUGCCUGUGUCU